Molecule: transfer RNA, 72 nt
Filed under: Marasmius tenuissimus
Lineage: Eukaryota; Fungi; Basidiomycota; Agaricomycetes; Agaricales; Marasmiaceae
Also listed under: 1 other name
Description: tRNA-Thr
Rfam family: tRNA
About the family: Transfer RNA (tRNA) molecules are approximately 80 nucleotides in length. Their secondary structure includes four short double-helical elements and three loops (D, anti-codon, and T loops).
Source: RNAcentral
GCCCUCUUAGCUCAGUGGUAGAGCGCGUCACUCGUAAUGAUGAGGUCGGUUGUUCAAUCCAGCCAGGGGGCA